GUAUUUAUUAGAUAAAAAACCAAUGCCCUUCGGGGCUCCUUGGUGAAUCAUAAUAACUUAACGAAUCGCAUGGCCUUGCGCCGGCGAUGGUUCAUUCAAAUUUCUGCCCUAUCAACUUCGAUGGUAGGAUAGUGGCCUACCAUGGUAUCAACGGGUAACGGGGAAUUAGGGUUCGACUCCGGAGAGGGAGCCUGAGAAACGGCUACCACAUCCAAGGAAGGCAGCAGGCGCGCAAAUUACCCAAUCCCGACACGGGGAGGUAGUGACAAUAAAUACUGAUACAGGGCUCUUUUGGGUCUUGUAAUUGGAAUGAGUACAAUUUAAAUCCCUUAACGAGGAACAAUUGGAGGGCAAGUCUGGUGCCAGCAGCCGCGGUAAUUCCAGCUCCAAUAGCGUAUAUUAAAGUUGUUGCAGUUAAAAAGCUCGUAGUUGAACCUUGGGCCUGGCUGGCCGGUCCGCCUCACCGCGUGUACUGGUCCGGCCGGGCCUUUCCUUCUGGGGAACCUCAUGCCCUUCACUGGGCGUGUUGGGGAACCAGGACUUUUACUUUGAAAAAAUUAGAGUGUUCAAAGCAGG
This 576-nucleotide ribosomal RNA is filed under the name uncultured eukaryote. Its description in RNAcentral is "SSU rRNA". It matches the Rfam family "Eukaryotic small subunit ribosomal RNA", at positions 203 to 784 of the family's 1831-position model. The record is from RNAcentral.